RNAcentral lists this ribosomal RNA (303 nucleotides) under uncultured bacterium. RNAcentral describes it as "partial 16S ribosomal RNA". It matches the Rfam family "Bacterial small subunit ribosomal RNA", at positions 507 to 809 of the family's 1533-position model. The record is from RNAcentral.
AGCAGUAGCCACGGGAAUACGGAGGGAGCUAGCGUUGUUCGGAAUUACUGGGCGUAAAGCGCGCGUAGGCGGUUACUCAAGUCAGAGGUGAAAGCCCGGGGCUCAACCCCGGAACUGCCUUUGAAACUAGGUGACUAGAAUCUUGGAGAGGUCAGUGGAAUUCCGAGUGUAGAGGUGAAAUUCGUAGAUAUUCGGAAGAACACCAGUGGCGAAGGCGACUGACUGGACAAGUAUUGACGCUGAGGUGCGAAAGCGUGGGGAGCAAACAGGAUUAGAUACCCCAGUAGUCCCUGUCUCUUAUAA